RNA transcript from Macadamia integrifolia, 1979 nucleotides. It is a transcript of the gene named pyruvate dehydrogenase (acetyl-transferring) kinase, mitochondrial-like, with no coding region annotated. Lineage: Eukaryota; Viridiplantae; Streptophyta; Magnoliopsida; Proteales; Proteaceae. The transcript has 7 exons. The record is from RefSeq and is a predicted model, not a curated record.
CACCACAAUAGAGGUGGAAGGGGAAAACCAAAGGUAAGGCGGCUUUUAAACCAUAAAACCCGGGAUUAAAAUUCAAACCCUAGUACCAUUUCAUCGGUUGCUGAUCCAUCACUCAAUCCCCACACAGUUUUUAUCUUGUUAGCUUUUCAGUUUCUUCCUCAUCGGUUCAGUCUGCAAUCUCUAUAUUCCUAUGUGUGGCUGUCUAUCUAUGCUCCCUUCGCAUUGCGUCCUGUGGUUGUAUUUAUAUUAUCGUUCACAUUUUCGGGGCUUGUUGAUCUCCCUUCGUCAGCCAUGGCGGCCAAGAAUUUGUACGAGAAUUUCUCUAAAGCUUUGAUCGAUGAGGUACUCAGGUGGGGUGCCAUGAAACAGACUGGCGUGAGUUUGAGAUACAUGAUGGAAUUUGGGUCCAAACCCACUGAGAAAAAUUUGCUAAUCUCUGCUCAGUUCCUUCAUAGAGAGCUACCCAUUAGAAUUGCAAGGAGAGCCAUCGAGCUUGAGAGCUUGCCUUAUGGCUUAUCUGAUAAACCUGCUGUUUUGAAGGUUCGAGAUUGGUACUUGGAUUCUUUCCGUGAUCUUCGAAGCUUUCCAGACAUCAAAGAUACAAGUGACGAGUUGGAUUUCACUCAAAUGAUUAAAAUGAUCAAAGUGAGACACAACAAUGUGGUCCCUAUGAUGGCUUUGGGUGUUCAACAGCUGAAGAAAGACUUGAAUCCAAAAGUCGUGACAGAAGAUCUUGAUGAAAUCCACCAAUUUCUUGAUCGAUUUUACAUGUCAAGAAUUGGGAUCCGCAUGCUCAUUGGGCAGCAUGUGGUAUUACACGAUCCCAAUCCACAACCUGACCGUGUAGGUUACAUACAUACUAAAAUGUCUCCUCUGGAGGUAGCACGAAGUGCAAGUGAGGAUGCCCGUUCUAUUUGUUUGCGAGAGUAUGGGAGUGCUCCUGAAAUUAACAUCUAUGGUGAUCCCAACUUUACAUUCAUGUAUGUUCCAACACACUUGCAUCUUAUGGUAUUUGAGUUGGUUAAGAAUUCCUUGCGUGCUGUCCAAGAGCGGUUUAUGGAUUCAGACAAAGUUGCACCUCCCAUUCGAAUAAUAGUUGCCGAUGGAAUUGAGGAUGUUACGAUAAAGAUCUCAGAUGAAGGAGGUGGAAUACCAAGAAGUGGCCUUCCAAAGAUAUUUACAUAUCUUUAUAGUACAGCAAAAAACCCAUUGGACGAGCAAACGGAUCUUGGAUCAACUGAUGGGGUGACAAUGGCUGGAUAUGGAUAUGGCCUUCCAAUAAGUCGCCUGUAUGCUCGAUACUUUGGAGGUGAUCUGCAAAUCAUUUCAAUGGAAGGAUAUGGAACUGAUGCCUACCUUCAUUUGAGUCGCCUGGGAGAUUCGCAAGAACCCCUGCCGUAAUCCUAGGACUGCCUACCACUGAUGUAAGCUGGGCAUAGCUUGCAUAUUAUCCUGUAUUAUGUGGAGUCACGACUUUCUUGUACAUUCUCUCUCCAUUCCUAUUUUAUCAGGUGGAAGUGUUGGUUUCUAGGUAUGAAUCAAUAUAUACAAGAUCUGUUAAAUAAUGUUGCAUUAUAUCCUUGAUCAUUCUCGCUGAAUUCUCUCUUCACCAAAAUUCAUUGUAGUACUAACCUACCUUGGUUUAUCUGUGAUAAAAAUAAUUAGAAAUCUCUUAACAACAGGUAAGUUCUUUCCUCUUAUUGUUUCCUCCCAUGGGUCUCAGGAUCAACUUGGGAUCUGCUAACCAGGGGCUAAUUGAGACAAAUUUGUUUUGCUGGAGCACUGUCCAGGUUGCAAGUAAACUAAGACCAAAUUUAGGGUGGUUUUAUUGUCACAGGGAUAUUAGAAUUGUACUGCAGUUUUUUAGUGAUUGUCUUCUCUGUUUCACACACAUUGUCUGGUACUCUGGUGUAGUUCUUGAUGGUAUUGUUUUGUUUAUAACACACAUGGAAAUUUUAUACUGAGAUAACAUGAGAUAA